Molecule: unclassified non-coding RNA, 338 nt
Filed under: Hevea brasiliensis (rubber tree)
Lineage: Eukaryota; Viridiplantae; Streptophyta; Magnoliopsida; Malpighiales; Euphorbiaceae
Source: RNAcentral
GGAAGGAAGAAUUUACUCCUAUGCAGAAUGGUUUUCUUCAUGCAGAAGGCACGCAUAAGUCCAGAACAGGGAGUGUCUCAAGAGAAGAGAGUGCAGGGACACCUACGUCCCAUGGUUCAUGCCAAGGAAGCCCUUGCGCUGGAAAUGGAUUCUCCCCUCAGAACGAGCUGGUUAAUUCACCAGCACAUGAGUCGUGCAUGAAAGUGGGAGGCUCUCUGGAAGCAGCUCGUCAGACCACAGCAGAAAUCAACUUAUCUUCCGCAUUCCUGAUGCCUCAGCCUAUUAUUCCAAAACACACCCAGGAACCAUUUGGAGGAAUGCUAGUUGAGGAUGCAGGC